Molecule: ribosomal RNA, 250 nt
Filed under: uncultured bacterium
Lineage: Bacteria
Description: partial 16S ribosomal RNA
Rfam family: Bacterial small subunit ribosomal RNA
Source: RNAcentral
UACGAAGGGUGCAAGCGUUACUCGGAAUUACUGGGCGUAAAGCGUGCGUAGGUGGUUUGUUAAGUCUGAUGUGAAAGCCCUGGGCUCAACCUGGGAAUGGCACUGGAUACUGGCAAGCUAGAGUGUGGCAGAGGGUAGUGGAAUUCCCGGUGUAGCAGUGAAAUGCGUAGAGAUCGGGAGGAACAUCUGUGGCGAAGGCGGCCACCUGGACCAGCACUGACACUGAGGCACGAAAGCGUGGGGAGCAAAC